RNAcentral lists this transfer RNA (75 nucleotides) under Escherichia coli. Its description in RNAcentral is "tRNA-Ala". It matches the Rfam family "tRNA". Rfam says of the family: Transfer RNA (tRNA) molecules are approximately 80 nucleotides in length. Their secondary structure includes four short double-helical elements and three loops (D, anti-codon, and T loops). Further hydrogen bonds mediate the characteristic L-shaped molecular structure. tRNAs have two regions of fundamental functional importance: the anti-codon, which is responsible for specific mRNA codon recognition, and the 3' end, to which the tRNAs corresponding amino acid is attached (by aminoacyl-tRNA synthetases). tRNAs cope with the degeneracy of the genetic code in two manners: having more than one tRNA (with a specific anti-codon) for a particular amino acid; and 'wobble' base-pairing, i.e. permitting non-standard base-pairing at the 3rd anti-codon position. Lineage: Bacteria; Pseudomonadati; Pseudomonadota; Gammaproteobacteria; Enterobacterales; Enterobacteriaceae. The record is from RNAcentral. RNAcentral also lists the same sequence under 1 other name.
GGGGCUAUAGCCAGCUGGGAGAGCGCUUGCAUGGCAUGCAAGAGGUCAGCGGUUCGAUCCCGCUUAGCUCCACCA